This 456-nucleotide unclassified non-coding RNA is filed under the name uncultured Inocybe. RNAcentral describes it as "sequence contains ITS2". The stretch from base 1 to 154 matches the Rfam family "5.8S ribosomal RNA". Lineage: Eukaryota; Fungi; Basidiomycota; Agaricomycetes; Agaricales; Cortinariaceae. The record is from RNAcentral.
AACUUUUAACAAUGGAUCUCUUGGCUCUCGCAUCGAUGAAGAACGCAGCGAAAUGCGAUAAGUAAUGUGAAUUGCAAAAUUCAGUGAAUCAUCGAAUCUUUGAACGCAUCUUGCGCUCCUUGGUAUUCCGAGGAGCAUGCCUGAUGGAGUGUCAUUUAAAUUCUCAACCACGACUGAUUCUUUUCUGGUGUGGCUUGGAUGUGUGGGUUGUCUUCUUGCAGGCUUUUCUGACAAUAGAAAGUCUGAUCUGCUGCAAUGCAUUAGUCGUAUCUGAGCAGAGGACUUACUAUAGGUGUGAUAAUGUAUCUAUGCGUUUUAGUAUGCUGUAUAAACGGAGUGCACUGCUUUUAUCAAAUGGAUAACCUAUAAGAUGAGUAGGGGCCCAAAUUUGAACAAUCUGACCUCAAAGAUGGUAGGACUAACCGCUUAACUUAAGCAUAUAAAUCUGCGGAGGCU